AAUGUCGUCGCUUAUAACAUUUAUAUAAAANCACNNAAGCAAACGAAACAUCAAACGUUCGAACGUAUUACAAUAUUUUAUUCAAAACUUACAAUUAUUAAAAUCCAUUAUUCAAAAGUAUAGAAAAAUACUUUAAACAUAAUAAAAUUCCCAACAACUAAUCCCAUAUCUCUCGUCGCGCUACUCCUGCUCUUCCUUAUCUGCAACGCCAUCUACUCCCGUCCAAGGACGACCAUUGCAGGUGGAACCACAACCACAAAAGGAAAGGGUGAGUAACUAAGAACAUAACAUAGUAUACGAUUUAACAUCAUAC
RNAcentral lists this long non-coding RNA (313 nucleotides) under Vigna radiata. RNAcentral describes it as "long non-coding RNA (VRAD_LNC014018)". Lineage: Eukaryota; Viridiplantae; Streptophyta; Magnoliopsida; Fabales; Fabaceae. The record is from RNAcentral.